AGCGUUGUUCGGAAUUACUGGGCGUAAAGGGCUUGUAGGCGGCCAACUAAGUCAGACGUGAAAUCCCUCGGCUUAACCGGGGAACUGCAUCUGAUACUGGAUGGCUUGAGAUUGGGAGAGGGAUGCGGAAUUCCAGGUGUAGCGGUGAAAUGCGUAGAUAUCUGGAGGAACACCGGUGGCGAAGGCGGCAUCCUGGACCAAUGCUGACACUGAGGAGCGAAAGCCAGGGGAGCAAACGGG
Molecule: ribosomal RNA, 240 nt
Filed under: uncultured bacterium
Lineage: Bacteria
Description: partial 16S ribosomal RNA
Rfam family: Bacterial small subunit ribosomal RNA
Source: RNAcentral